GAUUUUAAGUAGCAGACCUGUUAUAAAAAGGGCACCAGAAGAGUGGAGAUUCUAUAAGAUCCAAGAACCGAGUGAGAAGAACAUCGUCCUCAUCUCCUCCUGGUCAGAAAGAACACCAUGAAGACUCUCUGCUUCUCUCUGGGGCUGCUGCUGUUUGUUGUCUGCUGCAGUGAUGCCACAGCCCAUGGAGCUACUAACACCGCAGGACCUGAAAAAUGCUGCUUUAAAUUCAGCGAAAGGCAAUUACCACUGAAGAGAGUGACUGGAAUCAUCAGAACUCAUCACAGUUGUCAACAUCAGGCAUUUGUAGUCUCUACUGUUACUGGAAGGGAGUUCUGCUUUAGGGACAACUUCAAGUGGGCUGUGGAUACCUUCAACGGGAUCAGACCUGAAGGAAGCGGUUAAAAUGCUUCAGAAUAUUCUAUUCUCUAUAACAUAAACAUAAAAUUACCCUCUUUUUUGUAAAAAACAACUCUUUUCUUGCUUUUUAUUUUAAGUGGGCAUUUCACUUUGUGGUUCAUACUUUGUAUGUUUUGUGCUUCUUUCAUGUCUUCUGCUUUGUUAAGGCACAGAGACUUAAAAAGGUUUUUAUUGCAAUGAAUUUCAAAGACUUUGAUGCUGUCCUUAGAGCUCUAUGUUAAAAGGAGUUUCUUUCUACAUGCCAACUUUACAAUGAAGUUCUGAUUAUAGGUGAAUGUUGGCUUAAAUCACAUUUGAAUUUCUUUUGAAAAUCCAAUUAUUCUUAUUUGUUGCAUAUAAUGCACAUAUUCUUAUGCAAGAUAUUGGAAUAUAAACAACUGAAGUCCUG
Oryzias latipes (Japanese medaka) is the source of this 808-nucleotide non-coding RNA. NCBI's taxonomy places the organism in Eukaryota, Metazoa, Chordata, Actinopteri, Beloniformes, Adrianichthyidae. The record is from RefSeq and is a predicted model, not a curated record.